AUACGGAGGAUCCGAGCGUUAUCCGGAUUUAUUGGGUUUAAAGGGAGCGUAGGCGGGAGAUCAAGUCAGCUGUGAAAUGUAGAUGCUCAACAUCUGCACUGCAGUUGAAACUGGUUUUCUUGAGUGCGUAAGGGGCAGGCGGAAUUCGUCGUGUAGCGGUGAAAUGCUUAGAUAUGACGAAGAACUCCGAUCGCGAAGGCAGCCGGCGGGGCCGCGACUGACGCUGAAGCUCGAAGGUGCGGGUAUCGAACAGGAUUAGAUACCCUGGUAGUCCGCACAGUAAACGAUGGAUACUCGCUGUCGGCGAUAUACGGUCGGUGGCCAAGCGAAAGCGUUAAGUAUCCCACCUGGGGAGUACGCCGGCAACGGUGAAACUCAAAUGAAUUGACGGGG
RNAcentral lists this ribosomal RNA (393 nucleotides) under uncultured bacterium. Its description in RNAcentral is "partial 16S ribosomal RNA". It matches the Rfam family "Bacterial small subunit ribosomal RNA", at positions 523 to 918 of the family's 1533-position model. The record is from RNAcentral.